This 470-nucleotide ribosomal RNA is filed under the name Centipeda noxia. RNAcentral describes it as "bacterial SSU rRNA". It matches the Rfam family "Bacterial small subunit ribosomal RNA", at positions 28 to 475 of the family's 1533-position model. The record is from RNAcentral. Lineage: Bacteria; Bacillati; Bacillota; Negativicutes; Selenomonadales; Selenomonadaceae.
GACGAACGCUGGCGGCGUGCUUAACACAUGCAAGUCGAACGGAGCGAAUGAAAGCUUGCUUUUAUAAGCUUAGUGGCAAACGGGUGAGUAACAUGUAGGCAACCUGCCGACAGGAUGGGGACAACAUUCCGAAAGGAAUGCUAAUACCGAAUGAAGUCGAGGGAGGGCAUCCUCCUCCGAUGAAAGAUGGCCUCUAUAUAUAAGCUAUCACCUGUCGAUGGGCCUGCGUCUGAUUAGCUGGUAGGUGAGGUAACGGCUCACCUAGGCGACGAUCAGUAGCCGGUCUGAGAGGAUGAACGGCCACAUUGGGACUGAGACACGGCCCAGACUCCUACGGGAGGCAGCGGUGGGGAAUCUUCCGCAAUGGGCGCAAGCCUGACGGAGCAACGCCGCGUGAGUGAAGAAGGUCUUCGGAUCGUAAAGCUCUGUUGAUGGGGACGAACGUGCCUAAUGCGAAUAGUAUUAGGUAA